UACCAGCACCCCGAGUGGUCGGGACGUUUAUUGGGCCUAAAGCAUCCGUAGCCGGUUCUACAAGUCUUCCGUUAAAUCCACCUGCUCAACAGAUGGGCUGCGGAAGAUACUAUGGAGCUAGGAGGCGGGAGAGGCAAGCGGUACUCGAUGGGUAGGGGUAAAAUCCAUUGAUCCAUUGAAGACCACCAGUGGCGAAGGCGGCUUGCCAGAACGCGCUCGACGGUGAGGGAUGAAAGCUGGGGGAGCAAAUGGG
This 253-nucleotide ribosomal RNA is filed under the name uncultured bacterium. RNAcentral describes it as "partial 16S ribosomal RNA". It matches the Rfam family "Archaeal small subunit ribosomal RNA", at positions 474 to 727 of the family's 1478-position model. The record is from RNAcentral.